AACGAACGCUGGCGGCAGGCCUAACACAUGCAAGUCGAACGCACCGCAAGGUGAGUGGCGCACGGGUGAGUAACACGUGGGAAUGUACCCUUUGGUUCGGAAUAACGUUUGGAAACGAACGCUAAUACCGGAUGAGCCCUGCGGGGAAAGAUUUAUCGCCAAAGGAGCAGCCCGCGUCUGAUUAGCUAGUUGGUGGGGUAAAGGCCUACCAAGGCGACGAUCAGUAGCUGGUCUGAGAGGAUGAUCAGCCACACUGGGACUGAGACACGGCCCAGACUCCUACGGGAGGCAGCAGUGGGGAAUAUUGGACAAUGGGCGCAAGCCUGAUCCAGCCAUGCCGCGUGAGUGAUGAAGGCCUUCGGGUUGUAAAGCUCUUUCGCACGCGACGAUGAUGACGGUAGCGUGAGAAGAAGCCCGGCUAACUUCGUGCCAGCAGCCGCGGUAAU
RNAcentral lists this ribosomal RNA (446 nucleotides) under uncultured bacterium. RNAcentral describes it as "bacterial SSU rRNA". It matches the Rfam family "Bacterial small subunit ribosomal RNA", at positions 29 to 524 of the family's 1533-position model. The record is from RNAcentral.